AACGCGUGAGCAGAGAACACUGGACUGAAAGUUAAAUCCUGAAGAAAUAAAUGCCUCACAGGCAAAGGAAAAAAGAGCAUUUUUUAGAAAAGGAGGAGGAUUGCUUUGAAGACAGGAGGGGACCCAGGAGAGAGAACAAGUAGAAGUUCCAGAGGCAGGAAGUCAUGUGAGUGGCUAAGGACAGGCUGAGAACCUGGCUUCUGACUGCGUACACUGCUGCCCUCUUGUGGACGUGGGCCCAGCCGUGUCAGUGGCUGACGCAUUCUUUGUCACCUGAAGUCUGGACGAACAGGCUACUUAGGCAGCUUGAGACAUCCAUCAUCCUGGAGACAGACCAGGAUUUGUAACAGAAGGACUGUCAAAAAGCAAGAACAAGGUAAUAUUUCUCUUUUGGUAUGUAAAAUGGAAUUAUCCAGAAAGAAAAAACUAGGAAUGUCUUCAAAGAUUUCUAAAUGUCUUUAAUAUUCCCCUUUAGCAGACAAUGACAAUGAAGCCUGAUUGGACCAGUAUUCUGUAUCCUCCUGCCAUGUGGAGAAAGCACCCUGGUCCUCUAUUAAGGCAUUCCUAAGAAAUAGGGUGAAAGAUGGAGGGUAUGAUGACCUUUGGGGCCUAUGAGAUAGGGAGGUGUGGGGAGAAGGUGAGAAACAGGGAGGGAAAGAGGGACAGAGAGAGAAGGGAGAGAAUCAGUGUAGAUUAUGUAUUCCCCCAGCUUUGGUCCAACAAUUAGAGAGGCACCGUGGUGUAGAGGGGACACUUGUCCUUCUUCCCACUUCAGACCCUGUUAAAGGGACAGUCAUCCCACCCUGGGCUGUGACCAUAUCCAGAUGGCAGUGUGGUGUGGCCAGGCAAAGGAAGCCUCAAGGUUUAGCCUUCUUGAGCCAUCCGUAUCUCCAGAGAGGCACAGAUAAGCCAGAAUACAGUGGGAGAUUGCCAGGGACAAAGAUAGCCAUGACUGAAAGGCUUCUAAAAUAUUCUAACUUGUAAAUAUGUGACAAAAACUUAGGCUGAUUAAUUAUCCACCGAAAUCUACAGUAAAGAAACUAUCCCAUGUUUUCUUCUUUAAAAUUGUAAACACUGGCAAAAUACAGAAAACCAUGAGUUAGUGGGAGAAAAGUUAUAGACAAAACCAAGGAGCCAUGUGUGCUUGGUCAGUCUGAAUUGGCUUUUCUUUUUUGCAGUACUGGGGAUUGAACUCAGAGACACUUACCACCGAGCUAUGUCCCCAGCCCUUUUUAUUUUUUAUUUUGACACAGUAUCUCACUAAGUGGCUGAGUUGCUCAGACUGGGCUCGAACUUGUGAUCUUUCUGCCUCAGCCCCCUAGAGUGUUGGGAUUACAUGGUGCAUGUCUGGCCUAGUGAACUUUGGUAGAAGUUGAACGCUGCCACACUGGUUUCCACCAUCUCUCGUCAACCCUGGUGGAGCCAGGAAUCACAGUUAGCAGGAGGGUGAGGAGAUGUGGACAUAUCAAGCAGAAGAGGAGGGAGUGACCAGGGCUCCACCUGCUCUCCAGGAAAGAAAGCUUCUUGCUUUCAGCAGGCUCCUAUGGAUGGGGCAUGAUGGCCAGGCUCUCAUCAUCCCAUGGGACUUCUAGUGACUAAACUGGGAUUAUAUUUGUGGCUUACAAAGAGUAUAGGACAUUUUUCUCUUAAAUCACGUAAGUGUGAGCUCAUGAGGGCUGUCACAGUUUUCAUCUAGAGAUACUGGAGGAUUUUUUUCCCACUGAAUAUAUUUUAAAGGCACACCUCCUGUGAGUGCAAUUUGUUCACAAUACCAGUUAUACCAUAGGACAGUUCUUAUGUAAUAAUAUUGGCUGAAAAAGCAAUACUUAGAUGACUUAUCUAAUAAGACACAGCUAUGUGAAAAGAUGGGAAGACAAGGAGGUGAAGGUGGAGUGAGGGAGGGGAGAGAAAGAGAGAUUAGGCCUGAGACAGAAGGCCUAAAGACAGCAUUGUCUUCCAGCCCCUCAGCCAUCCCUCAUUUGCACCUACUGUGUGGUCUGGUGGCUUCCUUCUCAGUACAGUAACAAUUUUGCAGGAGUAUUAGUUUAUAUGUCUCUGAUUGAAAGUAAACUGCUAGAGGAAAAGAACAGUGUCUUUAUUUAGCCUUCUCUCUAGGGCCCAGAACAGAGAAUAAAUUUAGUUAAACAUAAAAGGAGACACUAUUGAAGCAAACAGGGAAUGCAGGAAACAGGUCAAAUGCUUUGCCUGAAUCCCCUGAACUGUUGCCCUCUCUCUCCCUUCUCUUUACUCCUUGAACAUUUUCCUUGCCUUUCAAAAUGCCCCCAGCCUCGCAUUAGUUAGCGGUGUGCUCAUAUUAAUCAUCAGUAUAUGAUUUGAGGAUUGGGUCCAUGUAACAGUGAUAAUUAUAGCUAUAAUUAUCUGGUACUUUCUAUAUGCCAGGCAGGACUGCAUAUUAGUCUAUACCUAUCUUUUUACAAGACAGAUUCUGAUCCUGUAGGCUGGGCUGGACCUAAGUUGCUGCAUUCCUAAAAGAUUGAUGCCAAUGCUGCUGGUCCCAGGACACACUGGGAAUAGCAAAAUGCAAAGGACUUUAACUCAUUUAAUUCUUAAACCAAUCCAGCGAAGCACUCAUCGAGUUUUGCAAUAAGAUCCUCUGAGGGUCAGAGCAGGUAAGUGAGGGUCACACAUGUAUUCAUGACACUGGGUUCAGACUUAGUGCUGUCUAACUUAAAAGUAUGAGACCUUUCCAAAGUGCUAUAACUUGUCAAGAGGUUUCUUUUAGGAGCUUAUCAAGGUUGGACCCUGGGAAGACAAGAGAGAGAAAACUGUGUUUCUGAAGGUAAGCUAUGGUGCUGGAGGAAGGCAAGAGUCUGCCAGGAGUUGCUGUACGCUUGAGAGAGGAUCUGUUUCUGGAGUGCCCUGGCUUGCUCCUGGCCUGUGCCAGCCCCACGCCUGUGAGGGAAGGGCUCUGCUCCAGACCUCUGUUGCGCUCUGCUUGGUGGGCUAGCUCCCAAAUGGAAGCAUUGGCCUUCAUGGGAAAAGCCUGUUUUCAGGAGAAGUGAACACAGUAAUUCACACCUGAAAUCCCUCCAGGCUCAUUGGCUCAUCUCAACAAACUGGGUGUGAGGCAGGAGGGGCUGCCUCCCUUGUACCAAUGGGAAAACAGGUUCAGACUGGCUCUGUAACCUGGUCUUCAGAUUCUUGCAAAUCCUGUGUGACACUAUACUCAGUUCUUUGGGGUUCAUGAAAGGAGAGUCUGGGAAGAACUAAAUAUGCUCCUCUUUGAUGAAGGGAACUGUCCCUGGGUUCAAAUCCCACCACUUCUGCUCACUAAGCUGUGAGCAGGUCCCUGGGUUUGGUAGAGUAUCUAUGCAGUGAGUGUAAUCGUGUGUAUGCCUAUUUACAUAGAUAGUGGAUCCUUAUUCCUCUCGGAUUCCCUACUUGUGAAUAUUCCAGCUCACUAAAACUUAUUUGUAAUCCCCCAUUCAGUAUUCAUGUUUUGUUUCUUAUUUGGUGGUACUGGGGUUCAAACCCAGGGCCUCACACAUGCUAGGCAAGUGCUCUGCCAUCAAGCCACGCCCCUAGUCUUCACAGUGUUUUUGCAGUCCUUUGUGACCCUGUACUGAGUAGUGAAAAUUAUAAGUCAUCUGACACACACAUUCCUAGCUCAAGGUGAUUUAACCGUGGCGGCUCCUUUGGGAAUUGUCCUUGGCAAUGACACUUUCACUUCCCCUCCCCAGUCUUUUUUGAAGGAUUACACCUUCUGCCAGCAUUCUCAAUUCUAAAUGGUUGAGAUGUUCACUGCUAAUUGAUUUUUUUUUUUUAGAUUUACAAAACCCAGAACAUCUGGUGCCCUUUGUAACACCCCUCCUUAGUCCUUAGUUCUGUGCACCAACUAAAAGGAAGGAUGUAAAUUGCUGGGCAGUUUAAGUUGCAGUAAAGUGAUAUGUUCAUUUUAAGAAAAUAUAAGAAGUAGCCACAGGAGGUCAUGGUUUAUUGUGAUUUUUCGGUCAGAGGGAAAAACAGGAGGCAGCCUGGAAGAUGGAGGCCCUAGACAGUAUAUAUGGCUUCUGCUCUUCUCUUCCUUCCCCUCCCUGUAACAGCCUUCGGCAUCCAGAAGCCCCUUAGAUGGAGCUCCGAGGAUGACAGUCCCUCAUGUUCUUCAGGGGCAGCCCUUGAAUUAAUUGGAUUCCUUCCUACCAACUUCGAGCUCUGAAUAUUGGCCUUUGAGUGGCGGGCAGUUGGUCUGCAUCUCGUAAUAGUGACGCCUUGUUUUAUUCCAGUUCUUGCACAGGAAACAAGUGCCCUUUGCACAGCCCACACUUUUGUACUUUUCUUUGGUGAUUUCGCUGUUUAAAAGUGCCAAAGUGCUGUGUAGUGUGUCAUGUGCAAGAAGGCUACAAAGUGCCUUUUGGAAAAAGCCCCAUGUGCCAGCUUUGUUCAGGCAUGAAUUACAGGGCUGGCAGAUGUGAGUCCAAAGCUAGCGAGUUAACAUUUAAGGUUAUAUAUAAUCUUUAAACAGAAACACAUAACGCAAGGUUACAUAUUGGUCAACUGAUGACAGCGCUGUGACCAGAGGCUGGCAGGAAUCUAACCCUGUAUGUCCCUGGACAACAGUGCAGGGUUCACAAAGUCAGUGUUCAUGGUGACCUUAGAGAACAUAACCACUACAGAUAAAAUCCAACAGUGUGUAUGUCAGGGACAUAGUGACCAUCAUUUCUUUUCUCCUAUAGUUCCGCUCAUUGAGGCUUAGCUUGUGGAAAAGUAAUGUCUGUUUUAAGGGCUCCGCUGGUGAGCCCUAGAGACUGUGGCCAGGGUCAGAGGCAGGGGGUUGGAAAGCAGGCAUACAGCAGACUGCCUGAGCAUAGACCUUUCCAAGGAGACCUUGAACAAUUGACUUCAGCCCUCUUUUCCAUAUCUUCAAAGGAGCACCUGUAUUGUGUCUAUAAAAGGUGAUGAUAUGGUGAGAAUUAGAUACGUUCAUUUUUAUCAGGUUGUCUUAGUUACUUCCUGUCACCGGAACAUAAUCCCCUGCACCCACAACUUAAAGGAGGAGAAGUUUAUUUUGGCUCACAGUUUCAGUCCAUGGUUUGCUGGCUCCAAGGCAGAAACAGGAUGGCAGAGGAAAAGGUGCCCAAUUCAUGACAGCCAGGAAGGAGAGAGAAAGAGAGAGAGGGACAGAGGAGAGAGAGAGAGAGAGAGAGAGAGAGAGAGGACACAGGUGGGCACAAGAACACUAUGCUCUUCCAGGCCAUGCCCCCAGUGACCCACCUCCAACCAGGCCCCAGCUUCUAACAGCAAGUUGGCUAUAGAGCAUCCUACUCCAGUGACCUUCCAAAUGCCGCUCCUCUGAAUACAUACUACUAUACUACUACUCUGGGAGGACAUUUAUCUCUCACCCUAACACAGAUGUUUAGCACACAGCUUGGUAAACAGGGCUAGGAUUGGGGUGAGUGCCAGGGAUGCAUGCAUUGUGUGAACACUUGCCUUGCCAAUGCCUUACUUGUCUUUCUUAUUUCAUGGUGUCCUGGCCCCGCUGGCGAAUGGAGAUGAGCUCUGCUGUUAUUAAAGGAAGUCCUGCUGUUGGCUGGCUUGGUCUCUCUGAGCCCCAGCGGUGACUGUGGGCACGGUUCGCUCCCUCUCUGGGCUGCAGUUCUUCCAUCUGGAUCCUGGAUCUGGGAUCCAGUCAUUUACUACCGUCAAUAAGUUUCCUCAAAUUGCAGCUGGCUUUCUACAAAAGAGAUGACCCCAUCUAGUAGCCUUCAUCUUGAAUUCAGG
RNAcentral lists this long non-coding RNA (5739 nucleotides) under Heterocephalus glaber (naked mole-rat). RNAcentral's name for it is "lncRNA (ENSHGLG00000043338.1)". The record is from RNAcentral. Lineage: Eukaryota; Metazoa; Chordata; Mammalia; Rodentia; Bathyergidae.